Molecule: long non-coding RNA, 721 nt
Filed under: Ananas comosus (pineapple)
Lineage: Eukaryota; Viridiplantae; Streptophyta; Magnoliopsida; Poales; Bromeliaceae
Description: long non-coding RNA (ACOM_LNC037335)
Source: RNAcentral
UUUUUUUUUUUGAUAAAAAUUUACAAAUUUUAUUGAAACUAUGAAUUAUUUUAAAUCAGCUUUUUUAACCGUUCAAAAUUUUUAUUUUACGAUUUUACCUUCUAAUUUGUUUAAUUUAUAAUAGUUAAUAGUAUCUAUUAGAUAAAAUAAAGUGAGGAUAAAAAUAUAUAAGGAUAUGCUCUGCGUUCUCCGGUGAGACCGCAGAAAAUAUAUCGUAACCGACUCAUCGUGAUAUACAGCAGAAAAUAUAUCGUAACCGACUCAUUGUGAUAUACAGAACGCAAUAGUACGUAAGGAAACAAACAACAUAUUUUUUCAUUGUACUUUCUCACUGUACGUAACGCAAUCUCCUCCUAAUUCCAAACGAAACCUAAAAUUUAACAUAAUUAUUUAUAUUAAUAAAUUUAUGUACUCUGUAAAGAUAAAAGACAUAUUCAAAUUCGUUUGGGAUUGGAGGGAGAUUGUGUUACGUGCAGUGAAAAAUUACGAUAAAAAAAUAUGCUGUUUGUUUCUUUACGUGAUAUUGCGUUCUGCAUAUCAUGAUGAGUCGGUUACGAUAUAUUUUUUGUAGUCCCACCGGAGAACGCAGAAGUAUAUCCUUAUAUGCUUUUACUCUAACUUCACUUUAUCUAAUAGUGCCAGAUAGGCCUCAAUACCAAACCAAGCCUACCUAGCAUUAAACAAGCUCAAAAACUAGAUAUUAGAAUCAAAAUUUUGAAAU